UACGGGGGGGGCAAGCGUUGUUCGGAAUUACUGGGCGUAAAGGGCUCGUAGGUGGCCAACUAAGUCAGACGUGAAAUCCCUCAGCUUAACUGGGGAACUGCGUCUGAUACUGGAUGGCUUGAGUUUGGGAGAGGGACGCGGAAUUCCAGGUGUAGCGGUGAAAUGCGUAGAUAUCUGGAGGAACACCGGUGGCGAAGGCGGCGUCCUGGGCUAACACUGACGCUCAGGCACGAAAGCGUGGGGAGCAAACAGG
RNAcentral lists this ribosomal RNA (253 nucleotides) under uncultured bacterium. RNAcentral describes it as "partial 16S ribosomal RNA". It matches the Rfam family "Bacterial small subunit ribosomal RNA", at positions 524 to 776 of the family's 1533-position model. The record is from RNAcentral.